GGGCCUAUCGUAAAGUGGUAUUACGCGGCAUUCGCAUUGCCGAAUCCCGGGUUCGAUUCCCGGUAGGUCCA
RNAcentral lists this transfer RNA (71 nucleotides) under Patescibacteria group bacterium. RNAcentral describes it as "tRNA-Ala". It matches the Rfam family "tRNA". Rfam says of the family: Transfer RNA (tRNA) molecules are approximately 80 nucleotides in length. Their secondary structure includes four short double-helical elements and three loops (D, anti-codon, and T loops). The record is from RNAcentral.